RNAcentral lists this ribosomal RNA (274 nucleotides) under uncultured bacterium. Its description in RNAcentral is "partial 16S ribosomal RNA". It matches the Rfam family "Bacterial small subunit ribosomal RNA", at positions 523 to 796 of the family's 1533-position model. The record is from RNAcentral.
AUACGGAGGGUGCAAGCGUUAAUCGGAAUUACUGGGCGUAAAGCGUACGUAGGCGGCAAGUUAAGUUAGAUGUGAAAGCCCCGGGCUUAACCUGGGAACUGCAUUUAAGACUGGCGAACUAGAGUUGAGUAGAGGGGAGUGGAAUUUCAGGUGUAGCGGUGAAUUGCGUAGAGAUCUGAAGGAACACCAGUGGCGAAGGCGGCUCCCUGGACUCAAACUGACGCUGAGGUACGAAAGCGUGGGUAGCAAACGGGAUUAGAUACCCUAGUAGUCC